GGGGAUGUGAAAGCCGGGAGCAGCCUUGGAUGCAGUGACCAUGAGAUAGUGGAGUUCAGGAACAUGGAAAAAACAAGGUAAUAAGUAGGACUGGAACCCUGGACUUCAGGAGAGCCAAUUUUGACUUCUUCAGUGACCUUCUUGGAGGUAUUCCAUGGAUUAGAACACUGGAAGGAAGGACAUGAGCUGGACGUCACAACCCAUGGACACCUGGGAAGGAUAUGUACCAUCUAGGAAUCGUUCUUGUGGAAAGGGCAAGACAAGAUGCUCUUCUAAGACAACGCGACUAAUACCACCUGGGAUUUCGGGGAGCUCCUGCAGGGGCCCAUCGUGGCUGCCGUCUGCCCAUUCUGAUGGACUCUGUGAGGAUCCAUAUCAGGCUGUGCUGGAGAAGAAAGCCUCCAGCAACUGCCAUGGCACUGGCAAGGCAGGGGCUGUGCUCUCAAUGUGCCUUCUCCAGAUGCUGGGCAUAUGGUCUUGUCCUGAGAGCUCCAAGAUAAUUUGGCUUAGCUCGCUCAGUGAAGGAUGCAGCUGGAGCAGAGAGUGUGGAGAGAGACUUACUGCACUUCCAGAUAACAGCCUUGCUGAGCUUGAUUGAUGGAUGCUGUUUAAUCUGCCAGACAGGCUGAAACUUAAGAAAUGGAGCAGAAACACGCAGCUUGGGCAAACCAUUUGUGUAUAGCAAGGACAUGCACAGUGUCAUUUUAGGCAGCGUUUGUGCUAGGAAGCCACUGUGCACAGACUUCCUCACCAGCACAGCUGGGCACAGAAGAGCUUUGGUCUGUGUGGCAGAGCAUUGUACGUGCUUUGGCCACCUUUGUCUAAGGAUGAGAUUUCUUUCCUCUUCCAAGCCUUUCCCUUUGCAAUUAUAUUACUGCAGCACAAGGCCAUGUACCUAGUCAUAAAAGCAAAUGUUUUUCAGUCGUGCCCCUGAAGUCUUCAGCAAGACCUUCUCAGAAGAUACGCAGAGGAUGGUUGAGUACAAGAGAAGUGUCCAAUAUUAAUUGCUGAGAUGAACUCAGAAGAUGUGGGCUCUGCUCCCUCAGGCUCUUGCUGACUGGUUGCAUGGUGCUGAGCACCUUCCUGGUCAAACCAGUGCCCUCCACACCUGCCUUGGACAUGCACUGCACUCAGUGUUCUCAGUGGAAAUGAUUGUAACAGAAAUAAUCUCUUCCAGGUAGGGUGAUUUACCCCAUGUAGUAAACUGGCUGCAGCUGGAGCACCUUAUUGCUAUUAAAAUCUUCAUCUUCACUUGGCUGUAGCUGUAGAGGCAAACUACACUAUGAUGUAAACAAGACUGGAGCUUGUACAACCUUUAAGACCAAGUGUAGCUAUUCCACUGCAGCUUGCCACUGCAUUGAGCCUGACAGCCUGAUCUGAAAGAACAGUUUUGGGACUUAGCAUAUAAAGAAAAAAAUUGUAGAGGACACAGUUCAAAUGACAACAACAACAACCAAACCUGAAGAAUUCAACACAUUUUUUUUUUACUGAAAGGAGUAUGGAGUUGGUAUAAGACUACUGCAUGUGUGAUAUACUCACCAAGUGUAUUCCAAUUUAACAGAGAGCAGUUAGAUUUGUUUUUCCUCUUAGAGGUGUUAAUAGACUCAAAUGUGGAAGAGGAGACAAACACAAGUUUGGCAAGUUCAGGUGAUGGUAAAUGAAGCAGGUUACGCUAAAGACAACCUCUUCUGUGCUGUUCAACUUUUCUUACACAGCACAGAGUGCACCUGGGUAUUGAGUACAAAACAAUGUAAACGAGCCCUUGCAAACUGUCUGUGCACAAGCUGGGAUAAAUCUCUUACAAGCAGAGGAAAAUACACCAAUGAUUUUGCCUCUGGAUAGAGAUUGCUAGCAGUUUUUGAGAUUUCCCCAGAUUCAGUCCCUGGUGAGAACACAGGUAUGAACAGUGUGUAUAAACAAAAUUUAAAGGUUUCCAUUAAAAGAAGAAACAUAGACUUGACAAAUACCCUAACACACGUGCCAAGGCAUAUAAAAUGCAUCUGAUGCAACAAAUGUUUCAUACCUUCUUCCUAUUUUCUAGAGUCAAUUUAUUUUCAAAUCCUUGCUUUAUACAUGCAGUGGAUGAAUUAAUGACUCUUGCUAUUUGAUGUAAAUUCUUGCCAUAGUUCGCUUCACAAUGGAUUUCCCCUCCUCUAGAGCAGUUGGUUCUGACUGAUGAUCUGUCUAGCUUCGGAGCAGAAAAUCCACAUGCUGAGGAAGCGGAGAUGGAGGAGCAGUCUUUGGAUUUUAGGAAUGGCCCUUUUGGGUCUGGAUCAAAGGCUUCCAGCCAAACAGCAUCAGGAAGCUUUGGCUGCUGCUGCUUCUGCAAUAGUUGUUUCCUGUGAUAGGGAGCAAGGCAUACACAAAGCAUCUGGUGCAUCCCAUCUGUGUGGGAGGGGAAGAAAGUUGCCCCAUGGCUGUCAGGCCAGUAUGCUUUGGCAUACAUGGAGGUGUAAAAAACUUGCUCUUGAAACUUCAGUAUUUUGGGUCUUGCUUAAUCUCUGUGUUCCAAAUUCAGCAGUAUCCUCAGUGAUUGCACUAUGAGUACUGGUAAAUAAAAAUUCUGUAACAGGGGAAACAUGAAAUUUCCAAUCAUUUUGCCAUUUUACAAAAGGGCAAUAAAAUGCUAGUAUCCCAUCUGAAAAAUAUUUAUUGAAUGUAAUGAGGAAGAAACCAGUGGGGAAAUUAAGUAGGGGUCUAUGGAAAUUAUCCUAUAUUCUGAGACAGGGUAAUACAAACUUCUUUACUGAACUUUCAAACCAUCCUGCAGAGUUUAACAGAGAACAGUUUUCUUUAGGUUAUGUUCUGACUUCUGUACUGUGUUCUCCAUUUAGUGGAGAACAUCAUUGUUCUCCAUUUAGUGUUUCUAUUUUUUUUGUUUUUGUUUACAAAGAGAUUGUCUAUAACAGCAUCAAAGCAAGCAGAUCAAGAAAAUAUGAUAUCAAGUGGCCUCUCUUCUCUUUUAAUUGUACUGCAAAAAUCUCCAGGUUCCUGGAACCAUGCUUAGCUCAUGUGGAAGCAGGUAUAAACAGUGAGUUCAAUGGAAACUAUAUGCAUUAUAGUACAAGUCGGUCAUCUUGCUUAUCAAAAAUAACUUUUGAAAUGUCUUAAUAUUGAAGCUUAUAUGGGACUAGGAUGUUUUGACUUUCUCAGUUUUACAUCACUUCUGAAGCAAUCAGUGGCAUCAGGUGACCACUGCUUGAUUCAGGACAGGAAUGCAAACCUGGUCUCCAAUAUCAAAAAAAAGUGUCUCAACGACUAUAAUAACAUGUAUGUUUACAGUUACGAUAAACCCCCUGAUAAGAUAUCUGGGAUCAGAUUAGAAAUACUUCAGCAACAUGAGAAAAAUAUCUCAAUUAUAAUGGGUCUAGUUUGUCUUGAGAAUAUUCUGGGGGUAACUUGAUCCUUAUGAUAGGUAUCUAGAGGCAUCUGAAUGAGGAGCUACGAGAUAUGGUUUAGUAGCUUGUGGUAGCAAUGGUAAUGGGAGGAUGGUUGGACUAGAUGAUCUUGUAGGUCCUUUCCAACCUUGUGAUUCUAUGAUUUAAGGCUUGCCAACAGAGUUUGUGUUGGUCUCUGCCUGGAAUUACAUUCUCUCAAAGGAAAAUGCCAUAUUUGUUGGGCCACGCUAUCAGGGACCUUCUUGGUGAUCUUGAUGUGAAGCAGCUCAAACUUCACCACCACCACUGACAACAAUGUUGCCAUUCAGGCCAAAUCAAUGGCAUUAUGAUGGUUCUAUCCAAAACCGUUCUUUGAGAACAACAGAAAAACUAUUUUUUCUGGGUGUGGUCCACAGCAGCAUUGAUGGGAAACAAUCACUUUUUGAUGAAGAACACCUUAAAAGGUGCAAUGAUUGACAAAUCUAGCAAGUUGUCCUCCCCAAGACAGCGCAGUAUGGACCAAGCAGGAGUCUGGAGUACAACAAAGUUAAAGCACAAAUCCUGCAGGUGACCAGUAAGAAUGCCGAAAGUGAUAAAGGACCGUUUGAGGCAACAGCAAUGCCAGAAACUGGAUAUGUCUAAAAAUAAAAACAUUGUGCUGUUAUAAACAGGGUGUUUUACAGGACAGAAACGGCAUAUGCCCUUCAUCUAAAGACUGCUAUUUAUUUAUUUAUUUACCUUCAAGAGCUGCAACAGGCUUUGAGCAACAGAGGAGCAAGCGUCUGUUCAAGGAGGUUGAAAAGAAACCUUUGGAACAGAAAGAGCCUGGCUCCCGCAUGUUUCUUUGCCACCCUUUACAUGUGGAAAGGUCAGGAUCACAAGUCUCUGCAAGCUGACCCUGCGUAUUUCAGCUGCAAUCUUAUUUGGGAUUGUGAGGCUCUAUUGCUGGUUCCUAGGAGCACUGGCAAGUGAACAAGGUGUGCUUCUCACCGCACAGUCAUUUGUCACAACCCCAACAUGCUGUGGUUUGCAGGUGUAUGGUUUUGAGGAUGAAAUGGACUAGCAGUGCCUUCUACUACAGAGCCCAUGUUCCUUCUCUUGACACAGCAGUUCUUCGUGCUGCUUUUUUGGCUUGUGGUCCAUCCUAGUCCCCUUUACUCUAGGAAGCUUAUGUCUUCCUGUCUAUACUACUUCUAACUAUGCUAUGGGAAGCUCAAGAUAGCAAACACAGGCACUAUCAUUAAUUCCAAUCACUGUUUAUUAAAUUGAAAAAAAAAACAAAAAAACAAAAGCAUGCAGAAAUGCAUACCAAAACAGACCUUCAUCUCCAUCCUCUACAACCUGUUGGAGGGGUUUUCAUCAAUCAAACACUGCAUCUCUGGCGAGACAUCAAGAGUGAUAAGUUUGAACUCCUGCUCAGCAAAGUGAAUCCACACUUUUUACUUGCUAUGUUUCCUGAGAGAGCAGGCUUCCUGGAUGUUACACAGAAUCACUGACGUUGUGGCAUCGGACUCUACCUUUGCCCAUACCUUCAGCCUGCAUUAUCCAUAGUAAUGUCAAGGGGACUUUUACUAGCUUAGGUAAAUAAAUUCUUUCUCUUGACUUAGUUUGAUGUGGAUCAGUCUCUCUGUCCAGUACAAUGGUCAACAAUGCAGCCAGCCCCUGCUUGUCAUGCCUAACUGGACAGAGACACAAGUCUAUGGAAACUAUAUUUUCCAUUUUUAUUUCCAUCUUAUUUGGGGUCAUUCUCCCCCAUGCAACACUGAUAGGUGCUUGGGAGGCUGUGCAUCUUGCUAGGCAAACUACAGAUCCCCAUGGAUGUUUUACCAGUACCAGCUUUAAGAGGAGUAAGAGAUCAUCCUUGAUAAUGUCCUCCCUCACCAAGAAAGAACAACGUGAAGCUGAUCAUAGGUGCAUAUGUCUGUGUAAUGGCUUUAAAGAAAUGGGUAAAUCCCAUGAAAGUGAUGUUUACUACUGCUUCAUCCUACAUUAGCAGGUAGUAUAGGCUGAGCAUGGCUAUACAUGGCAUAAUCUCAGUGGUGGCUAUUGCCAGCAUCCCAGUAGCACAACCAGCCCUGAUUGUUCCUGCACAUCCCCUUGGGGCUCCCACAGAAAAAUAAUAAUAAUAAUAAUACAGGAGCUUAUCACAGUGCAGAGAUGGGAGUGGAGGAGAACAGAAGCAUGCAAGCAGCAGUAUUAUCCAGAGGGAUGCGCACCUCCCCAUGGGAAGCCCAAGGGCAGCUGAGCUGUGCACCUAGCCUAGCUGUGCAAAGGCUCACCGUCACUUCCCUGCCACGUGGCUGGCAAUGAGUGGUCCCAAGUGGUUUAUACUUAGAGAAUCCCCUCUUUGCAUUGGGAUGGUCUUGUUUUCAGUCCCAAAAUGCCCUGCAAAAUGAAUGAAUUGUUGUUUUCUAGCCAGCCUGAGUAGGAAACAUGGCUCACACAGUUGCUGGGAACUGGAAGAAACAUCCUGGUCUGCAGAGCAUAAAUUAGGAAAAUGCAUUCUUAUUCUCGUGGAUAUUCCUUGAGAAAAAGCCAACAGUGGGAGUGUGUUAGAGUGGUAAAAUACAAUUCAUGACAACAGUCCCACUGAGAGGAGGAUUUUUUUUUUUUUCCUUUAGUUGCUUCUAAUUGUGGUAAGGAGCAAACGCAUUCCUCUUUAAUUUCCAUUGGCAAGGUCUCCGGGACUGUGCGAGUGCCAAGAAGUGUGCUGUGGCUGGCUUUGCAUUUCCUCCUCUCUUCUUCCCCUCCUCCACCCCUCCCUCAUCUUAUGGGUAUUACAGCCAAUCCCUCUGCAAAUACCUUUUUCGCAGGCAAUGUAAGCACUCUCCCUCUUGUUUUUCUCCCUUCGAAACUCUGCUCUAUCUCUUUUGGCCAGCUGCAGCCUUCCUAGAGCAUCUUCUACCUGACAAAAGAAGAUACCUUUGAUAGUCAGACAUGAUGGUAAAGUUGAAACACAUGCUUGGUUCAGAUACCAAUGAACUUUAAUUUACCUCAAUUCAUUAGCAAUUUUUAAAACCACAGUUAAUGGAAGGCAGCCUGUAAAAUAAUUGGAAGUAAAUGAUGAAGGAGAAACUCUGGGGGGAGGAAGGAAGGGAAGCGGCUUACAGCAGGAGUCUAAGCCAGGCUUUCAUCUUCAGGGCAGUCCGGUUUUGAACCCUGAUGGGAAAGGUCAUGAAUUUUAAAAUGUGUCUCGCAGCAGACAGCUCUAAUCAUAAAGCUAACACUAUCUGCAGUGCAUGUCUGACCAUGUGAGACUCGCGGCUGACUGAAGGAGGCUGACUUUCAAGGGGAGGAUGCUGCUUUGAGCAGGAAGGUGUGGGAUAAGCAGAACCGAUGCCGUAUCUGUCAGUGCCAGAAUGAAGCACUGGGCUGCUGGGUCAGGGGAAAACAUGCCACUCUCAGCAGGGCUCGCAGCAGCAGCAGGACCACGUAGCACCUUGUGCUCUUCUCUGGGCUCCUUGAGAACCCAGCGUUUCCCCUUCUUGCAUGUCACUUAGGAAGUGUAACAUCUUACUGCUUUAGCUUGCCAUUCGCAUCUUCAGUUUUAAUACAGUUUCCAGCCUAUUGCAUGCAAAAGCUGGAAUGCUCUCUACUGCUAUCCUGGGAAUCGUUGCUCUGCCAUUUGCCAGGCUGUGUUUGAAAUCAAGGGAUGCUAAUGUUUUGGCAACACCUUACAGUGCCUCUGACAAAAGAGUUGUGGUUGGUGUCUAUCUCAGUCUUAAUUGUUUUCUUAAUUGGAUGCUGCUGAGGCUCAGACAGUUAUUUGUAGGAUGUGAGAAAACACUUGAUUCUCUCUCUGACUUCAUCUGCAUUUUCCAAAAUCCUUCCACUGUUCAUCUACCACAUCUUGGGCUCUGCUCUUCCUAGCAUGUAUGGAAGCGUAGUCCAGUGGUGUUAAUCACCACGUGGUGUCUAGACAUGCUGAAAACACUUAGGCAACUGUGACAUCUGUUUGGGCAGCCAAUGUUGUUGGGAAACUUGACCCUAUUUAUGAACAGUUUUUAAAACCAAGUUUCGGUCAUGACAAGAUAAUAAAUGCAAAGUGUCUUUACAUACUGUGAUCAGAGCUUCAUGGUCAACGUGCUCUCACAGGAGGGGUGGUCUUGCUCUGAAAGGAAGGGUAACACUCGGGGCAUAUGUGUUCAAUUUUUAGGUCUGGCACAAACUUCAUGUCUGACCUUCGCAAAGGUGUGUGCUUUCUUUGUGUCUGGAAUAAAUGGUGAUGGUAAUACCUGGGAUCAGACUGAUUAUGGGACUCUUCAGAUUGCGCCAGCUAAUUUGAUUGUUACCAAAAUAAAGUCCCCGUGAUCUCACCAGAAUUCAAUGCCCCAUUUUCUAGAUCUAGCAGUCUGUGAACAAGAGCUGGAGCCAGGCUGGAAUGUCUUUUGGUUCUGCAGCAACAGAAAACUCCAAGUCAGGGAUUAUUUUUAGUGUGCAACUGCUAGGUUUUUCAGUGUAUGAUGCGGAGCAGAAUUUUCAAGAGCAUCUGGUCCUUUGCUGUUAAUUGUUUACUUUGCUCCUGAAUAUGAGAUCUGGGGCUCUGAUGGAGGAUCUCUGGUAAAUUUAACUGUUAACUGUUAACGUUAUCUCCUCCAGCACCUCUGCCAAAAAUUACUGCCUACUAGCAGGGGUGCAGAGCAAAAAGGUACAGAGAGGAGCAGCAAACCUGGUGGAGACGGUGCCAUGCUCUUUUCUAUUACCCAUCCUCCAAUGGUUUGUUUCACCAUGGAAAAAACCUAGGGAUUCACUCAGGUGUGAGCUUCUCCCAUGCUGUGUCUGGCAAGCAGUUAGUGACUUGAGAAUGAUGGUUCUUUGCUUGAUAUGCAGACUUCCCCACAGCUCACUGUAAAAGAGAGCUGAGGGACAGCAGGAUCCACUAGAGGUGAUAUGGGAAGCCCUAGCUAUGCAGCGCCAGGAAAAUGUCAACAACCAGGUACCAGGGGCCCCUAAGUGGGGCUAACCCCGUGCCCCCAGGCAAGGCUCAGUUUACAUUCACAUCUCCCCUUGGUGACACGCCAGUGCGUUUCCGAGGAACACACAGCUCUGAAGGGGCUGCUGCCAGAGUAAGCUUCUCCACUCAUCUCACAUCUGACUUGUAAUUUCAGUGGCCGUGUUUUUUAUGGUGGGGUCUCCAGCAGUACAAAAGUAUUACAAGGUAUUUAUUUGCCAAGCCUUUUCUGCUGUGUUUCAGCCUCUCCUCUCCCCCUUCCCUGUCUUAUCGCUGGUGGAAGCGGGUGUAAAGUCCUUUGAACGAAGACAUCAAAGGACAAUUGCAUCUCUGUUCUUUAACCAGACUUAUAAAGAGAUUGUGAUAAAGGACAACAAUACAUGUCAGUGUUGCCCAGUUAUUGUUCUGUGCUUUGUAGUUUUAUUAGGAAAUAAUUUCUCACCCUGUGUGGCUCCUGGUGAGUUUUGUUUCUGUGUUGCUGGAUUUGAUCUGCCCACUGAAAGGCCUGCCACAGAACUGAGAGUUUUGCCAGCUGUGAGUUAAGAGGGAGACAUUAUUGAAAAAGUUCAAGCUCUGCUUCCUAGCAGCCAAUUUACCAUCUGUCUCCCUCUCCCUCACGCCCCUUUUAUAGCAAAAAUGCAAACAAUUUGUUUGACCUCUGCUGAAUCUGUAGAACUCUGGGCUUUUAAAGUGUUGAUUUAACAAAUAAAAACUGAACGUGACAGCAGCAACAACCUCAAAUUCAAAGCCAAUAAACCCAGGUAACAGCAAGGCUUGUUACAAGAGACAGUAAAAGCCUAUGAAAGGCUUUCUUCUUUAUAAAUAUAUCCCUCCUCCUCCCCGUACCCCACCUUUUGGAAAAUCUACAAAUGAAGUUGAAUCUUGACCACUACAGUGUGUGGCUGAAAAUUUGCCCCUCCUCCAGGAUAACAGAGGGAGUAAAGCCCUCGAAAGUCAAGUUAGACCACUGUGGAAAGACUGUUCUGAGCCUGCCUGACUUGGGUUUGCAUCCGUGGCUUCAGACAGAGUUGAUUAUCCAUAUGAGGACGAAGGGAGUUGUGGACAGGUAAUUCCUAGCACUCCCCCACCUCCAAUCUCCUGGCAUCAUGCCCCAGCUCUGAUCUUGCACAGCUCUAGUGCUCAUGAGACACCCUUACAAACUGGUUCAGUUCAGUGACCCACCUCUCAGCUGGGUUAGUGAGCUGAGCCUGCUCACAGAGGGCUCUGGUGGGCACCGGAGCUGGUGCAAUGAGAGGGCAGAGGGAGAAGUGGGAUCUCUCCUGGUGAUGCUGAGCCUCUAGCCUGGCUCGGCUGUGUGAGGAACGGCAGCUGACUGUCACAUUAUGAAAUUGUUGCACAAAUGGUGUGAUUGCCAGCGUAUGAUAAUAGUGCUGUCUGUCUCAUAAAGAGACUUUUUCAGAAGCAUUGUUGAUGCUGGUAUAAAUUGGCACGGCUUCAAUCAGUGUGUCAUUUGUCUGGUAGACUAUGAAAUGCUCUUGCAAAACCAGCCUGUGUUUCAAGACUUGUCUCAAUCGUAUUGACCCUAAUGAAAAUCCAAGCUACUAAAUGACUCAUUCCUGUUGUCCUUCACCCUGAAAUAGGUACUCAUACCCACAAUCCACAUCACUGAAAAUCUGUUAGAAAAAAAUCACACUUCAGGAUUGCAUGCUUCAAACAAAGCCUAUGAAGUCCCCAUUCCAGCCUGCUGAAGCAGCCCUUGCUUCUCAAACAAAUUUCUUUAGGAAGAGAUGAGAGCUGGUGAGAAAAUCACCUCCGUGCUCCUGUGUUUUAGUGAGGAUGGAAAAGGGCAGCAUGACAUUCUUGCACAAAGCAUUUUCUCUUUCAGCGUAUCUUAAGUAGAUUGGAAUAAGAAAAGAAAGCCUUUUCUUGGGUUACUGAAGCUACAAAGCUGUCAUAUAAUUGGGGACCAUCUUGGACAAAUAAUGGGGUGGCAGAGUGUUGGGGGAGGAAGGGAGAAGAAAAGGGUUUAGUGUGAAAAUGAAUCUCACAAACGAAGAUGGACUUAACCUGUUAAGUAGCCUUGAAACCUGAGCUGAGAUGCUAAUCCUCUCAGGACAAAGCUGAAUCCUGCUUUUGGGGGUGUGAGGGUGACCUUAUACCUGCUUUGAGAAUGUGGAAAAACCCUUUCUAAAAGCUGGGAAUGGAGGCUUUCUAUUGUCUAGGAAGUAUCUUGUUUAUCACAGAAUGGUAUUCUUUCCCAUCUUGACGUUCUUUGGUAUUUGAGUUUUGAAUGAAGUGUAAAUACUGUCAGUAAAAAAGAAUUAGGAGAGAAACAAAACAAAAGAAAAUUGGAGCAAGAGAUGCUGUAAACAAAGAGGAGAACAAACAUUUUUGCUAUGUAAGGCUGCCACAUUGCUGAGUGGCUGCCUGAGAUGUAAGGAGGAAAUUCUUUCACUCUGGUUAGGGGAGGGCAGCAGAUAGACUGUGUUUGAGGAUAUAGUGAGGAUGAAGCAACCCAAAAUCUUAAAAAAUAUUUUCUUCAUAGUGGCGGGAAAGGCUGUAACAGUUGAAGACUUCUGAGGUCAGGUACCACCAGAGAAAGACACCAAGGUAUCAGUGAAACCACUUGGAGGUACAGAGCAUGCAGGUUGGUUGAUAAGGAGAAGAAUGGAUGGUGAAGAAGCCAGUGGACUGGACGAGCUUGAUGUCUAGGUUUAUGUGAAUUUUGAAUCUUUUUUGGUCACGCACUUUCUGCUUGAAACAUAAGCUCAGGCUCAGUGUUCUCUACCUGACAGUAAUAGGUCUAAAAAGUUCCCACUAUUCUGCUCCACCUUUUACUGUACCGGCGCCAAGGCCUGCCCAGCUACAGAAAUCUUUAGGAUUAGCCUGUGUAUUAUUUUCAUGGAUUAUAUUUCUUUCUUUCUUCUGAUCUUACACUGCAAGCAUUGUUUUUUCUAGCAAUGGCAGGGAGGCAUCUGAAGGGAUGUGUGUGUGGUACUGCCAGUCAGCCAGGCUUGCUCCUGGGCUUCAGAGCAGCUGUGUGGGACAGAGAGCAGUGCUGGCCAGGCAAUCCAGCUCAUGAAUUCUCUGCCAGCCUCCUGCGUGGUAUCCGUAGUCCAGGUCAAGUUCCAGGAAGGUUGCUAGAACCUCUGUGUAAAUAUUAAGGCAAGCCAAAGGGACAACGUGAAAUAUCACUGCUCUCAUCUGAUGGGAGCUGAUACUUGGUGCUCAGGCAACUUCCCCAAGAUAGGGAGCUGGACAUACAGCUGCAGCAGAAGUCUCAGCUGACUUCAGUCUCAGUCUGACUUACAGUCUCCAUUUAUCUCCCACUGUCUGUAUUUUGUUAUACAAACUAAAUGUGUUGAAAAGCCACAUCAGCAAUUUAAUCAAGAGUGUUGCAUGAGAUCUCACCCUAUACUUCCAAGUCACAAGCAGGCGUCCCUUGCAUUUUCAUUUUUAUGACACCAAGUUGGGAGGUAGUGUUGAUCUGCCUGAGGGUAGGGAGGCCCUUCAGAGGGAUCUGGGUAGGUUAGGUUGCUGGGCUGAGGUGAAUGUGAUGAGGUUCAGCA
This is a long non-coding RNA of Gallus gallus (chicken), 11858 nucleotides long. RefSeq lists it as uncharacterized. The transcript has 3 exons. The record is from RefSeq and is a predicted model, not a curated record. NCBI's taxonomy places the organism in Eukaryota, Metazoa, Chordata, Aves, Galliformes, Phasianidae.